AUGGAAAAUUCUGUUUCAGCCAUCCUUUUGGGGUUGUAUUAUGGAAAUUCAGUGGCCGUUAAUUCGCAUAUUCGAAUUACACAGACAGAUAUCCACAUUUAAAAAUAAAGUCAUAGAGAUAUAACUUCUGUUUUUUUCCCCGGUAGUUUUGGACUCUUUUAGCUCAGUUUAUUCUCACUAAUGAGGGCCUAAUAUAAAGUGUUUUGAAGCCCGAGUUGUACAGUAUAAAAUGUAAAGUGUGUAUGAAAGGACGCUAAAAAUGUAAAUACGUCUUUGCUAAAAGUUAGGUUUGAGAAGAUACGUGGGUAUUUCGAAGAAAUAUAGUGACUGAUAGCGAGAUGUUAGGAGUGAAAGUGGCCGACCUUACUCGGGUUGGCGAUAAAAAGCGAUGUGAACGAAAAUGAGACCGAGUUCGAAAUCCAAAUAUAAAAAUCCUCAAUGCAAUUCGAAUACGACGGAGAUUCCGGGGUUAGGAAUUAUAAGGAAAUAAGAAAAAAAAUAAAUUGGAAUAAGUAUAUUGUAUAUUCGAGUACAGUUCGAAUUUAUUCAUUUCAAACACUGUAUAUUCGUUAUAAUAUG
Cinara cedri is the source of this 579-nucleotide non-coding RNA. NCBI's taxonomy places the organism in Eukaryota, Metazoa, Arthropoda, Insecta, Hemiptera, Aphididae. The record is from the annotation of a GenBank genome assembly.